CCUACGGGGGGCAGCAGUAGGGAAUCUUCCACAAUGGGCGAAAGCCUGAUGGAGCAACGCCGCGUGGGUGAAGAAGGUCUUCGGAUCGUAAAACCCUGUUGUUAGAGAAGAAAGGGCGUGAGAGUAACUGUUCACGUUUCGACGGUAUCUAACCAGAAAGCCACGGCUAACUACGUGCCAGCAGCUGCGGUAAUACGUAGGUGGCAAGCGUUAUCCGGAUUUAUUGGGCGUAAAGGGAACGCAGGCGGUCUUUUAAGUCUGAUGGGAAAGCCUUCGGCUUAACCGGAGUAGUGCAUUGGAAACUGGGAGACUUGAGUGCAGAAGAGGAGAGUGGAACUCCAUGUGUAGCGGUGAAAUGCGUAGAUAUAUGGAAGAACACCAGUGGCGAAAGCGGCUCUCUGGUCUGUAACUGACGCUGAGGUUCGAAAGCGUGGGUAGCAAACAGGAUUAGAUACCCCUGUAGUC
This 465-nucleotide ribosomal RNA is filed under the name uncultured bacterium. RNAcentral's name for it is "partial 16S ribosomal RNA". It matches the Rfam family "Bacterial small subunit ribosomal RNA", at positions 338 to 795 of the family's 1533-position model. The record is from RNAcentral.